This 462-nucleotide ribosomal RNA is filed under the name uncultured bacterium. RNAcentral describes it as "partial 16S ribosomal RNA". It matches the Rfam family "Bacterial small subunit ribosomal RNA", at positions 28 to 507 of the family's 1533-position model. The record is from RNAcentral.
GACGAACGCUGGCGGCGUGCUUAACACAUGCAAGUCGAGCGACGCUCUUCCUUCGGGGAGAUGACGGAGCGGCGAACGGGUGAGUAACACGUGGGCAACCUGCCCCUAGCUCUGGGACAACACCGGGAAACCGGUGCUAAUACCGGAUACGACAUCGAGCGGCAUCUCUCGAUGUGGAAAGUUUUUCCGGCUAGGGAUGGGCCCGCGGCCUAUCAGCUUGUUGGUGGGGUAAUGGCCCACCAAGGCGACGACGGGUAGCCGGCCUGAGAGGGCGACCGGCCACACUGGGACUGAGACACGGCCCAGACUCCUACGGGAGGCAGCAGUGGGGAAUAUUGCGCAAUGGGCGAAAGCCUGACGCAGCGACGCCGCGUGAGGGAUGACGGCCUUCGGGUUGUAAACCUCUUUCAGCAGGGACGAAUUCAGACGGUACCUGCAGAAGAAGCACCGGCCAACUACGUG